Molecule: transfer-messenger RNA, 391 nt
Filed under: Holophagaceae
Lineage: Bacteria; Pseudomonadati; Acidobacteriota; Holophagae; Holophagales
Also listed under: 1 other name
Description: UBA12189 sp014189895 Standard tmRNA
Rfam family: transfer-messenger RNA
About the family: Bacterial tmRNA, also known as 10Sa RNA or SsrA, is named for its dual tRNA and mRNA-like properties. Its role is to liberate the mRNA from a stalled ribosome.
Source: RNAcentral
GGGGCUGUUCCGGUUUCGACAGGAUAAAGCUCAAGGUGGCGAUGCAGGCGGGAGUUGGUCAGCAGGCUCCCUCAUCAAGCCGACCCCAUUUAACUGCCAACUUUAAUUCCGAAUUGGCUGUUGCUGCCUAAGCAAUUAGGCAUCAACCGAGUCACAGUGAUCGCUAGGUAGCUGUCUCGUUAAACCUUGGAAAGGGUGACUUCGGUCUGCCGGACACGGGUGCUAGCUGGGGGUUCGAACCGUUCUCGGCGAACCUUGAGAUUUAGAGAACAACCUCACUGGAACGGCUCGUUCAUUUUCCCCCAGUGUUGGAUGUGAGUGAACCAAGCCUGUGGAUGAAUCCUACCCUGACGUAUCUUGGACGCGAGUUCAAUUCUCGCCAGCUCCACCA